ACUCAGUGAAAUUGAACUCGCUGUGAAGAUGCAGUGUACCCGCGGCAAGACGGAAAGACCCCGUGAACCUUUACUAUAGCUUGACACUGAACAUUGAGCCUUGAUGUGUAGGAUAGGUGGGAGGCUUAGAAGUGUGGACGCCAGUCUGCAUGGAGCCGACCUUGAAAUACCACCCUUUAAUGUUUGAUGUUCUAACGUUGACCCGU
RNAcentral lists this ribosomal RNA (206 nucleotides) under Escherichia coli. Its description in RNAcentral is "partial 23S ribosomal RNA". It matches the Rfam family "Bacterial large subunit ribosomal RNA", at positions 2031 to 2236 of the family's 2925-position model. The record is from RNAcentral. Lineage: Bacteria; Pseudomonadati; Pseudomonadota; Gammaproteobacteria; Enterobacterales; Enterobacteriaceae.